UCUGCCCACCACUCCCUUGGUGGGAGCCAUUUUCAUGAACACAGUCUUGGCAGAGUACGGUGUAUAUAUACACUCGGAAGAUUCUGGCGGGCGGGUGUGGAGAUGUACUGGAGUUGCUGCGGCGCAGGGCAUGCCUGGUUCGGAAGCUCCCUCGCUUAACCUGCCACCUACCCCUCUUUAGUGGCUGCGUCUUUCUUCGGUCUCUCCUUGCCCUCUGUGUGUGUGUGGGGGGGUCAGUUUGCGAACCAAAAGGGACUGUAAGGAAUGAAGAGGGAGUCCUUCAUUCCCGUCUCAUGGGAAGACCCUGAAUUACAUUCCCUUCUCUGCACCCUGAAAAGUUUCAGCUGCAGAUAGCUGCUGAUUCCAGGCUUCAGAUGAAAAGCCACAGCUUUCCUCAAGCCAGAGCAGGAACUGUUUUUCUCAGUGGGCUGCUAAGCCUGAACACUGGGUUCCCCGGAGCUCCCUUAAACAGACCAGACCACACCACUUGGGCAAGGUUUUGAAUAACCAAAAAGACUCGGGAAGAGGCUGCCUGGUCCAGCAACCCUGAUAAACAAUUCAAUGAUCACCUCAGGGAAAGCAGCAAACGUGAAAAUUUGAUGGCUUAGGCCAUAUUUCACAUCCUUGGAGGGCUGUUUGUAUGUUUUGUAUCAUAACUACAAGUCACAGGAAAAUCAACAAGAAAAGAAAACUUGUGGAGUGGUCACAGCAUGCAUUUCAGCUGUGUUAUACUUGGCAACUGAGUUCUGAAUGGCAGAUGAGUUGUUGCUUUCUAAUUGCAUCAUGUUGUAUAGCUAUCUACUUUUGUCUCCAAUAAAAGACCUCAAAAACCGUGCUAUUGCAAGUAAAUUCAGGUCUAUUAAUUUUGAGUUAGAUUACCCUUUGCUGUAAUAUGUCUUGGAACAUGUUAUUUUACUGAAAUGUAGAUUAAAUUCACUCAGCAUAUUUUAUUAUAUCUUAUUAUAUACAUCUAAUGUUAAAGAACUGAAACAUAUGGCCCAAAUCUUUGCCUAAACAAGAUCUUGCAUGAUUAUUGGGCAAAAAUAUAAGGACUUUGAAUAAAACCUAAUAGUACCAAUGUAACUCUAUUUUAAAAGAGUUAUGAUAUAAGAGAGACCUCACAUGUAUCAAAUGUAGUGUGUAAGAGUAGCUCUGUCUCUAUAAAUCAUAUAAGUGAGAUUCUAGUUAAGCUAUUUUGAACUUAUAAAACUAAAAUAAUUAUAAAUUCCAGUAGGCAUGUGGGAGGAGAAAGGGAGAUACCUACAAAUUAAGAGUCAGAAAAAGUUUGGGACCAGAACUGACUCCAGAGACAGGAGUGGGUCCAAACCUGAAAAGCAGCAGAAGAGACACAGGUGGACAGAGAGAGGGAAGACUGAGGGUGGAGGUUCUAAAAGAGAAGACUAGAUAGUACAUCCUGGGGGAGGGCACUCUUAUAAUCCUGGUAAUAGGUCCAAACCAAAUUCAUUUCAUGUUCAAGGCCAACUUGUUCAGUUUAUUAUUAAAGUGCUGCAAGAGAAAGAGAAUGUGCUUUGGCAUCAAAGACCUGAGUUUGUAUCAUGGCUCGAGCUACUUAGCUCUGUGACCACAAUGUGUUUUUCUCAACUGUGAAAAAAGGGUGAUAACUGUACAAGAAUGUCUCAGGGAUCAGGGCUUCUGAUAGGAUUACAGAUACAAGAAGAUGCUCACUAAAUGGUAACUAUAACUUUUAUAGCUCAAGUAAAGAAACUGGGUCUUGUGUAUUCUGGAGCUUGUCAUUGCAAGCCAAUCUUUUAUCAAAUUAUUUGUGUUUUAAUAUUUUGGAUUUUGAUGUUUUUGCUUUUUAAUAUUUUGGAUUUCUUUUUCAUUUUCCCAUUGCUACCAUUUCCCUAAUAGGGUUACUGUAAAAAAAGAGAAUUAUUUCUUUGCUGAAACUAAGGAGAAAAAUAAUUUGCUGUCAAAACCAGAAAGUUAAGUGAUUUUAGAGGACACACUUGGGGGGGGGCACAUCAGUAUCUGGCUGGAAGAUGGGGAAAAGGAGAGAAUAAAAGAGAACGAUGGUGCAAGAGAAUGGUAAAAUCAGGUACAGUGGGAUUUCCAAUCCAUCUCCACUUGAGCCAUUUGUUUCCUUAGUUUUGUUUUUGUUUUUGUUCUACUUUUUUCUCUGAUUCUCUGUUGUUUGGGAAAGUCAAAGUGGGGCAAGUUGGUUUUGGUCUCAGGGGUACUAGAAGAAGUUAUAUUUGCCCAAUGUAUUGGAUAAUAGAUCCAUUCAAGAGAACUGUUAAGUCAAGAAUUCUAAGGACAGAAUAGGGCAGAUUUGGGGACAAAUCAUGUUAGGGCAUGAUAGCCAGAAAAAAGGGAGUCUAAAGCAGUGACUUCUAACCCUGGAUGUAUAUUGUAGUCACUUAUGGUCCUUUGAAAAAAUAUAGAGACUUGAGCCCCACAUUGAGAGAUUUUGAUAUAAUAAGCUUGGUGGUACCUAGGCAUUGGUAUUUGUCAAAUACUUCCCUGGUAGUUCUAGAGUCCAGCCAAGACUGAAAACCUACGUAUAAACUAAGGGUGAAAGUCUAGGGCAGAUGCUUUUCAUAUAUGAUGCAAAAAAUGCUUUCAAGUCCUAUAGUAACAGAAUAUAUUCAGAUAUGUAUAAAAUGAUUACAGCACAUCCACCACUGGUUUUUUUUGAUCAGUCAUCAUUCAUUCAUUCAUUUAUUCUUUCUUUCUUUCAUUUAUUCAUUCACUUAUUUUGAGUACCUACUGUGGGAGAGACAUACAGACAUCGGCUUAUCCCUGUCUAGGCAUUGGAACCCCCCUUCCUAUUGUUUUCCCAAUAGAUGCAAUAUACCUGUAUUGUGUUUUCCAACCACUAUUAGUUUUUAACUUUCAAAGUGCAAACUCAAGGAGGUUGCAUAGCCUAUGUAUCAGGUGGUACAUAUGUAAAGAACCCCCUUCUCUAAAUCUUUAUGUGAAUCUGGGAAUGUGAUGUACCUUCUACAAGCUAUGAUAAUAUAUGAAUUUUAUUUUGACCGUUAACGAUCUUGGACAUUCAGCAUUUUGACACUUCUUCCCUGCUCACCCUGAUUCACAACACCAGUAUCUCUAAUGAUUAAAUUCUACUCUGGAUUAUGCAUUGUGCUUUACCUUUCCCUUCAAGAAAACAUUCUGGUUUUCUUGAGCUUGACCUCAUCUCCUAUUGGCCCCAGUUUAAUGUCAUAUGAUUAGUUAGUACUGGUAGAAUUUGAUGUCAAUAUGGCUGAUGGAAACAGUAUCUUUAUUGGAAAGUUACUGAUGGUAAAUCUUCACAAAUAUUCAAGUGAGUCCUUGAAAAUUACUUCAGCAUAAUUCACGACACUAAAGAAAUUAAUAUUUUCUGUGUGUACAUUUCAAUGCUAUUACUAUAAAAUAUAUUUCAGCAAUAAUAGUACAUGUUUUUAUUUUCUUAAGUCUUGCCAGAAAAAUGAUGAUUCUGAACUCAUAAUAUUUAUCUCAGAGGAAGUUGUUUUUUUAUAAUCUGGGGAUUCUUUGAUAGUGUAAUGGGAGAUAGUAAUAAUAAGAAGAAAACAAUUAUAGCUAACAUUUAUUGAAGGCUUUCCAUGUGUCAGGAAUGGUUCUAAGUGCCUAACAUAUUUUAUCUGAUUUCAUUUUCAUUAUGUGAUAUAUAAAGCAUAUACUAGUUAAGUAAUGUUCUUGAGGUCAUACAGCUACUAAGAAGAACUAUGAUGCACUGCUUAAAUAUACAUUUAAUAUUUUACAAAUAAAAAAGAAAAUUCUUGGUUUUCUGAGUAAAAUCCACAUAUAAUUAAAAUCUCCUUGGUUUGAUACCUCCAAAUUAUUUUCAUUUUUAAUGUAAAUUUAAAAUAAUUACUCAUUUAAAAAUACUACUAGUUCAAUGCUGUCUGUUCUGUAUUCAGAAUUUUAAUUACAAACUAUUAUUUUAGGUAAACAAUUCUAAUCUAGAACAACAUAUUGUGUAUGUUUAUUACACAUUGCUUAAUAUACUUAAUAGAAUAGAGAGCCAGAAAUUCAACUGGAGUUUUGAAAUUUUAGAGUAGUUUUACAUAACUCAGCAGGGUACCAGUUUUUUUGUGAUAAAAAAAAUGAGAGUAAUAGGCUUAAUAUUUGACAUAACAUUUUGAUAAAAUGAAGAUUUCCUGGAAAUAUAAUUUGCAUAUUGAAUUUACUCUUUGAAAUAGAGAAAUAGUUCUUUUCUCAUCUGUACCAUGUAUAUAUACUCUGUGCAAAGAUGCAUCUUUGAGAUGCAUACCAUGUAUGUAUGCCUCUACAACAUAGAUAUUUGAGAACCUCUAGUGUCUCCAGAUGCCAGCAGGAGUGGUCUGAGACUUAUCUGAACACUCUUAUAUAGUUAUUUUAAGGUGACCUUCUUUGAAAAGAGGGUCAUAUUUUCUUCAAUAUUUGAAAUUUUUAAAUUUUAUUUUUUAUUAUUUUUAGCGAUUUGAGUUUUAAUUUUUUUAAUGUUUA
Molecule: RNA transcript, 4452 nt
Organism: Felis catus (domestic cat)
Lineage: Eukaryota; Metazoa; Chordata; Mammalia; Carnivora; Felidae
Gene name: high mobility group protein B1-like
Exons: 4
Source: RefSeq, a predicted model, not a curated record